AGUUUUUCUCUCUGACAAGGUGUGUGAGGGAUGGAGGUGGACAGCAGGCUCCUAUAAAACACACAUUUCUCCUCACAGACAGGAAGUGGAGUGUGUGCAAGCACCCUUUGAGGACCAUCGGGACUGCAGCCGAAACAAAAAGACAUUUAAACAGGAAAAAACAGAAGAAGAAGAAGAAACGGGAACAAAUGGCUGGCAGGAGGCGAUGAGGCGUUCGAGGUGUUCGGUAAAUGAGACUACCCGCUGCUGAGGUUCAGACCCGGUUCGAGCGGAGCAGUGACAUGAUGGAAAACUUCAUUCUGUGUUCGUGACAACAGUACAGAGUCUGCCUGCAUCGGACCUCUCACCAAAAAAAUACUGGAUUUGAGAAAAAUUCUGGUGCACACCAUUCCAAAGGCUAUACAAUGGAGUCCACUCACCUGCUGAGUGGAUCUAAGAAGAGAGUGAAGAUCCAUCCUCAUACAGUCACAGCCAAGUAUGCCACACAGACCCCCUACGCCCCCCAGCCUGGAAUACACACUCACUUUCCCCAGCCGGGCGAUGAAGGUUAUGAUGACGCUCCAUCCUUUGAGGAAUUUGGCUCCUUCGUUGAGGACACGUCAGACAGGAAACGACUGACUGAAAGCAGGAAGUGGCCGUUGACGCUGUUCGGCUCUAAGGAAAAGGACAAGGAGGCACCCCAUAAACUCCAGCCUACAGGAGGGGGAGAGGCGAGCGAGGGGGCAGCCAAGGCAGUAAAGGGGUC
Austrofundulus limnaeus is the source of this 745-nucleotide long non-coding RNA. RefSeq lists it as uncharacterized. The record is from RefSeq and is a predicted model, not a curated record. NCBI's taxonomy places the organism in Eukaryota, Metazoa, Chordata, Actinopteri, Cyprinodontiformes, Rivulidae. The transcript has 3 exons.